Molecule: long non-coding RNA, 3077 nt
Organism: Oncorhynchus nerka (sockeye salmon)
Lineage: Eukaryota; Metazoa; Chordata; Actinopteri; Salmoniformes; Salmonidae
Exons: 2
Source: RefSeq, a predicted model, not a curated record
GAAUGCUGAGUUCCUGCUGGGGGACCGGAAAGCAAUGAAGGGACCAAACAUCACAGCGUUUCUUCACUUUGACACUGCAUUCCAGCUGAAGCCUCAUUUAAAGGUCUGACAUGAUGUCCCCGUCAAUCACAGAUGAUAGGAACGCACAGUUGACUACUCAGCUUGAGAAGUAAACCGCUUUUUCAGGAUGUUGUCUCCAUCAUAUUUGUCCCACUGUAUUGGGGCAAGUCAAUACAGGUUUUAAACCUUUUAACAUACAUUUUCACGUUUCAGCCUUGAGAAAAGGUUGAAGGCCAUGGAGAAGAGAAACUGGAGAAGCUGGUCUCUUCAACACUGCGCAGUAAUUUUGGAAAGUCUGCAGACUAAGAAGACUCACUGUCUGCUGGACACAAUCUAUAGGCUGGUCCUGGAGCGCUCUUUCUAUUGUGGCCUGGUUUGAUUUGAUUUGAUUUUGCAGAUGGACAAACAUCGGAGAGAAUAAAACAGCAGAUCAAUGCCGACAAUGGAAGGAACAAGUCACCUCAAGACGUAUGUGGAUAUUCUCCAGCAAGCAUAUACAGUCUGGUCCCAGGUGUCCAACAGCUUGGGGGACAGUCUGCUCCGGGCAAAGCAGUGUGCAGUGAUGCUGCAUAACAUAUGCCUUAGGGCAGCAGAGGAGAGGCACCAUCAAGGAGGUGUUGCACAUAUAACUUCCCAAGAUGGCGUAGCAGUGAAGACGUGUUUGUUCGUCCUCUCGUGUACUUUUGUAUUUUUCUUAUUUUUUGUAUAUAUAUUUCAAUUUUAUUUUCAAUCUCUUUUCGAUUUUUAUUUGAUUAUAUCUUCCGGUAACCUGCCUCACCCAAUGUGAUACGGAAUCGCUUUUAUUUUUAAUUUUAGAACACAUUCAAGAACCUCCAGAAGCUAACCAGCUAAUAAGCUACAAGCUAUUUAGUCAUGCUAUUUUACCUUCUGCACAGAUACAAGCCCUGUUUUUAGCCUGGAUAAUACUCGCCAGUCUACCAGUAUCGGACUGUCUCUCCACAACAACGCCAAAUUCCUGCCAUAAUCCCUGGACCACUACUUCUGAUCUUCACAGCUAUCUUGCGCUCACCGUGGCACCCAGUACCGAAGCUAUCCCUGAGGCCCACCUCCCAGCCUACUCAGCUGUUCACCCGAACCCCACUCAUACACGGCUAGAGCCCAAUACACCACCGGAUCCUUGCUGUAAACUCUGGACCUUGGCACUGGAUCACCGCUGCUACCGAUUGGCUAUAGUGGCUAACGCCACUGCCACGAAGCUAGCACCAGUUAGCCGUGAGCCAGGCGCAUCUCCCGGCUAGCAAACUAAAUUCUACAAUACCUCUUUCGCCAUCUGGCUUGGAUUCUCUGUCGACACGGCGCCCCGCCGCACAACCACGACUGGUCUGCCGACGAAUACUCCAUCCGCUGUGCCUUCAACCGGCCUCCGUCGGAGCAGACGCUCCUACUAGCCCCGGGCUACUAACUUUAAACGCUGUGUCGCCUGCGUGCUAGCGUAGUGGCGGCUUCCCUGUUCCAUCUACUGCUGCCCCAUGGACACUAUGAUCACUUGGCUACAUAGCUGAUGCCUGCUGGACUGUCCAUUAAUCACGGUACUCCGUUCUGUUUUUUAUUUUUUUAUAUGUCGGCCCCAGCCGCGAACUCAGGCUCUGUGUGUAGUUAAUCCGACCCUCUCUGCCUAGUCAUCACCAUUUUACCUGCUGUUGUUGUCUCACAUGUUGUUUUAGCUAACUCUCCCAAUCAACACCUGAGAUUACAUUAUGCCUAGCUGUAUGUCUCUCUCAAAUGUCAAUAUGCCUUGUAUACUGUUGUUCAGGUUAGUUAUCAUUGUUUUAGUUUACAAUGGAGCCCCUAGUUCCACUCUUCAUACCCCUGAUACCUCCUUUGUCCCACCUCCAACACAUGCGAUGACCUCACCCAUUAUACAACCAGCAUGUCCAGAGAUACAACCUCUCUUAUCAUCACCCAGUGCCUGGGCUUACCUCCGCUGUACACGCACCCCACCAUACCCCUGUCUGCGCAUUAUGCCCUGAAUAUAUUCUACCACGCCCAGAAAUCUGCUCCUUUUAUUCUUUGUCCCUCAACGCUCUAGGCGACCAGUUUUGAUAGCCUUUAGCCGCACCCUCAUCCUACUCCUCCUCUGUUCUGCGGGUGAUGAGGAGGUAAACCCAGGCUCUGCGUGUCCCCAGGCACCCUUGUUGACUUCUGUGAUCAAAAAAGCCCUGGUUUCUUGCAUGUCAACAUCAGAAGCCUCCUCCAGAAGUUUGUUUUACUCACUGCUUUAGCACACUCUGCCAACCCUGAUGUCCUUGCCGUGUCUGAAUCCUGGUUUAGGAAGGCCACCAAAAAUUCUGAGAUUUCCAUACCCAACUAUAACAUUUUCCGUCAAGAUAGAACUGCCAAAGGGGGAGGAGUUGCAGUCUACUGCAGAGAGAGCUUGCAAAGUAAUGUCAUACUUUCCAGGUCCAUACCCAAACAGUUCGAACUUCUAAUUUAAAAAAUUACUCUCUCCAGAAAUAAGUCUCGCACUGUUGCCGCCUGCUACCGACCCCCCUCAGCUCCCAGCUGUGCCCUGGACACCAUUUAUGAAUUGAUCGCCCCCCAUCUAUCUUCAGAGUUCGUUCUGUUAGGUGACCUAAACUGGGAUAUGCUUAACACCCCGGCAGUCCUACAAUCUAAGCUAGAUGCCCUCAGUCUCACACAAAUAAUUAAGGAACCAACCAGGUACAACCCUACAUCUGUAAACAUGGGCACCCUCAUAGACAUUAUCCUGACCAACUGGCCCUUCAAAUACACCUCCGCUGUCUUCAAUCAGGAUCUCAGCGAUCACUGCCUCAUUGCCUGUAUCACUGUCAAACUCUCCCUAAAACACUUCUGUGGUGACAACUCCACCAGCCCUAUUUAUGAUAUCAUUCACUAAAAUGAUACCUUUUCUUUUUUUUUUCUUUGAAAAAUACGUUGUUGUUUUUUUAUCAGUGAGUAUAUUUGAGUUCAACCACAAUAUUUGUUAUAUUAUUUGUUUUGUCUUUAUAGGUGGAUUAAACUGAAAUUGCAACCAA